This 253-nucleotide ribosomal RNA is filed under the name uncultured bacterium. RNAcentral's name for it is "partial 16S ribosomal RNA". It matches the Rfam family "Bacterial small subunit ribosomal RNA", at positions 524 to 776 of the family's 1533-position model. The record is from RNAcentral.
UACGUAGGGUGCGAGCGUUGUCCGGAAUUACUGGGCGUAAAGAGCUCGUAGGCGGUUUGUCGCGUCGGCCGUGAAAACUUGGGGCUCAACCCCAAGCUUGCGGGCGAUACGGGCAGACUUGAGUACUGCAGGGGAGACUGGAAUUCCUGGUGUAGCGGUGAAAUGCGCAGAUAUCAGGAGGAACACCGGUGGCGAAGGCGGGUCUCUGGGCAGUAACUGACGCUGAGGAGCGAAAGCGUGGGUAGCAAACAGG